RNAcentral lists this ribosomal RNA (337 nucleotides) under uncultured Eubacteriales bacterium. RNAcentral describes it as "bacterial SSU rRNA". It matches the Rfam family "Bacterial small subunit ribosomal RNA", at positions 1044 to 1382 of the family's 1533-position model. Lineage: Bacteria; Bacillati; Bacillota; Clostridia; Eubacteriales. The record is from RNAcentral.
CAUGGUUGUCGUCAGCUCGUGUCGUGAGAUGUUGGGUUAAGUCCCGCAACGAGCGCAACCCUUGUCUUUAGUUGCCAUCAUUAAGUUGGGCACUCUAAAGAGACUGCCGAUGACAAAUCGGAGGAAGGUGGGGAUGACGUCAAAUCAUCAUGCCCUUUAUGUCCUGGGCUACACACGUGCUACAAUGGUCGGUACAACGAGAAGCAAGCCAGCGAUGGCAAGCAAAUCUCUAAAAGCCGAUCCCAGUUCGGAUUGCAGGCUGCAACUCGCCUGCAUGAAGUCGGAGUUGCUAGUAAUCGCGGAUCAGAAUGCCGCGGUGAAUGCGUUCCCGGGUCUU